Molecule: long non-coding RNA, 1946 nt
Organism: Vidua chalybeata
Lineage: Eukaryota; Metazoa; Chordata; Aves; Passeriformes; Viduidae
Exons: 5
Source: RefSeq, a predicted model, not a curated record
CCUUUGGUGCUUAUCUGAGUACGUCUGUCAGUCUUGAUAGGCUUGGAGACAGAGGAGCUUCUUUAUCUGGGUUCUUUGCUUCUUCUGGUAUUGUUCUUUAUGCAAGAAGCUUCAGAAAUUUGCAUUUUCCUUUGCCCUUUGUAUUAGGCAGAGGUUUCUUAGAGUAAAAGGUUGAAAAUUCAACAGAUAACUCUACAAGCUAAAUUAGAAAUGCUUAAUUCAUUUUGUUAACCUAACUCUAAAAAUCUCUGUUUCACCUCGAGAGCUGUCACAGAGCAGAAGGGCAGCUGAGAUGCUGAAAAGCAGCAAAGCUGAACAGCCUGCCUCAGCUUCAGCAGUGUGCAAUUGACUGAAGGCGAAACACGAAGCAGCAGAGCAGCGGGCUUCUCUGCCACCGUGUUCUCUGCAUCUCGGAGCCUCUGGGGAGCAACAAGAAUUUCCAAGGUGGUGUAAGAGCCCGUCUGAAGCCCCUCAUUUUCCGUUCUGCCUUCCGAUUGCCACGAGAAAGAAUCCCUUCCUCCACUGCAGUUCCGGCUUAGAACAGGACACAGUGCAGGUGCAACCACUGAACCGUCAUGCUAGCUGUUCCGAACAAGGCCUGGCAAGAACUUGGCAAGGACUUGGCAAGGACUUGGCAAAGACCUGACGUGGACCCAGCACGGGACAGCCUGAUGCGCGGCCUGCUUCUAAUCUCCGUUCUUAAGCCAAAUGAACUUUUGGGGUGACUCCCGGGGUCCUUCAUUGAAGACCCCUCAUCUGCCUCGUUACCAGUGUGACAAACAAAGAAUGAGAACCCUCCUCCCAAGGACUGAGACUGAGACCCCUGCUAUAGGGAGGAGGGGAAAUUGGUGGUCUGACCACUAAUGACAUGACCUGUUUCCCUUCAGUGAUUCAAAUGGACUUAUUCUUCAUUGGAUUCGUCUUGCUUUGGUGGUUUCUGUGGACUCACCUGUUCCCGCGUGGCGAUUACAAUGGACUUUCGUUGUUACACUUGCUCCCCCCUCUUUCCUCUGUGGACUAUAACUGGAGCCCCGAGUCGACCAGAACUUCGGAGACUCCCCCGACACGACAGACGGAUCCCCAUCGUCCGGACCACUGAGGAUCUCGCCUGUGUUGAAGAACUCCGAGGGACAUGAAGACCACCUAAUCCAUGAUCAAACUGGCUUGGACAACCUGGCUGCGACAGUGGAACCCUCCUAAAAAACGGGUGCCAAGAGACAUAACUGGUGUUGUGGGAACAGAAUUGGGAAUCAAUUCAGAGCUCCAGUUACCUUACAUGAACUUUUAGAAUCCAAUCUCAUGUUGAUUCACAAGUUACUGCCUACUCCCAUUGGGAUGAACCUUACUUUGGUAAAGCAACUAUUACUUCAGCAAGAUCUAAUAGAGAUCCUAGGAAAAAUCAAGGAGAAUGGACAGAAAACUCUGGUAACUGUUCAUCAUGAUGUGCAAGAAAUACAUCGUGUUGUAGAAAGGGUGGAAAGUGAUGCCGAGCACAAGUGGUGGGAUACCCUUUACGGGUGGUCACCCACCGCCACCGGUAUCCUGAACAAAUUGUGCCAUCCCGUUGUUGUUCUUCUGAUUUUAGUUAUGAUUGGUUUUUUUUUAUCAGUAAUCUUGCUUAUUGUAAAUUGGAGAAUGAUGAAACGAUGAACAAAAUUAACAUCUAUAAUUAAUGCACACCACUUGGCCGACAUCCUUUACACUAUAGAUGUUCCCAGGACUAUAGACACAAGAAGAUUAUAGGGUUGGUAGAUAUGUUUUACAUCAUUUUCUUUUAUGAUUUGUUUUAAUCACUGUUUUAAUUAUUUUUGUUUCUUGAUUAUAAAAUUAUACUGAGUAAUAUCGAUGAUACUAGGUUUAAUACUUUACUGCUUAAUAUUGAUUAUACUGGUUUAUUAUUUGAUCAAUUUAUUGUUUAAUUGAUUAAUAUUGAUUAUUAUUUAAAC